RNAcentral lists this ribosomal RNA (234 nucleotides) under uncultured bacterium. RNAcentral's name for it is "partial 16S ribosomal RNA". It matches the Rfam family "Bacterial small subunit ribosomal RNA", at positions 14 to 236 of the family's 1533-position model. The record is from RNAcentral.
GUAUCAUGGCUCAGGAUGAACGCUAGCUACAGGCUUAACACAUGCAAGUCGAGGGGAAACGACAUCGAAAGCUUGCUUCCGAUAGGCGUCGACCGGCGCACGGGUGAGUAACGCGUAUCCAACCUGCCCACCACUUGGGGAGUAACCUUGCGAAAGUAAGACUAAUACCCAAUGAUAUCUCUAGAAGACAUCUGAAAGAGAUUAAAGAUUUAUCGGUGAUGGAUGGGGAUGCGU